UACAGAGGGGGCAAGCGUUGUUCGGAAUUACUGGGCGUAAAGGGCGCGUAGGCGGCCCGCUAAGUCGAACGUGAAAUCCCCGAGCUCAACUCGGGAACUGCGUCCGAUACUGGCGGGCUUGAAUCCGGGAGAGGGAUGCGGAAUUCCAGGUGUAGCGGUGAAAUGCGUAGAUAUCUGGAGGAACACCGGUGGCGAAGGCGGCAUCCUGGACCGGCAUUGACGCUGAGGCGCGAAGGCUAGGGGAGCAAACGGG
This 253-nucleotide ribosomal RNA is filed under the name uncultured bacterium. RNAcentral describes it as "partial 16S ribosomal RNA". It matches the Rfam family "Bacterial small subunit ribosomal RNA", at positions 524 to 776 of the family's 1533-position model. The record is from RNAcentral.